GACACAAGGACAUGUUAAUUACUUCAAAUCUUUGGUGUGAAGCAGACUUCAGGGAGCUGGACCCACUUGCGAAAUCCAAGUGCAGGGAUAGUUCCUACACGAAAGGUGAGGACCAGCGUGUGGCCACCGAGGUGUUGGUGCUGAAAGUCAGAGGAGCACCGGGGAGGAGCGCCCACAGCAGAGGCGGUGAUAGAAGAGGAGUACUACCUGGAUUCCAGCCUGGAAUCUACCUCCUACCAGCUGUGAAAAGAACACCUGAUCUUAAACAGCUGUAAGACCUCACUCAAUUCUCUCCACUUACGAGUCCUGGUUUCCCACCUGUGAACUUGAGGAGUUGAAUUCAGAACUCUCUGAAGCGCCUGUGUGAACCUGAGAAUGGGUCUGCUUGAUUUUGUGCCCACGGCGCCUCAUCCUAGUCCCAGUCCCGAGAUCUAAAAUGCUCUGAGGGAACCUGUCUGCGCUACGUUGGAGCAGGACCCUAACUCCUCUGGGGCAGCAGUGCCCCCAGCCUCGCCAGCAGCGCUGCGGCAUAUGAAGAUGAGCAGAGGCGCCGGGAAGAGAGCCUGGGCAGUGCCCUUGGGGGGCUGGAGGGGCAGUGCCUUCUGUGCUCCCUCCUCCACCAUGCUGCCUGAAAUGCCACGGCGGGGACUCUGCAGCCAACUGGACCCUUUGUGCCAGGGGGGCCUCGAGCUGGAGAAGCCUGAGAACCCCUGACUGUGGAACUGCCACCCCUGCCCUGCACUGCCUACCUCUGGGCUUCCUGUGUGACACUGGAUGACAAAGAGGCUGCUCUGGCAGCAGAGAAGCCAGAAUCUGCGUGUGCUGUGCCACCAGUCAGCGUAAGGCCUGGCACCAGUCCCUUAAGCUCCUCCUGUGCUGUCUACAGGUGGGGGGGCUAGAGGCACUCGGUGGCCCCCUUUCUGUCUCAGUGUAUUCAGUGGCUCUGAGUUACCAUCCUAGGUGGCCCUGAACACCAGUUUCUCCACAGUGUGAGACAGGACAAGGAUCUCAAGGUCUGGGUGGUUCUUACUAAAUGCUAUUCUUGCUAAAUGUCAAAAUGAAGCACAGUAUUUUGCAAAGGCAGCUGUACCUGGAUUAGUUUGACCCUGACCCUGGAGCCCAACUGAUGCAAAGGAGAGAUCAGUAUGUAAUCAACCAAACAGUGUAUAUAAGCAGUGGCUAACCAUUUGAAGAGACAUAGCUUGGAUGUAAACUGUCUCCUUGACUCGCUCUAAGUAAACAAACAGCCUAAGGACAACCACGUCACAUUGGUGAAUAGAGCACCCCAAGCAGUGAACCCCUUGAGUUCUGUAACAGUAGGUUUAAUAUAUUCACACCCAAGACAUUUCUCUAGCUAAGAUAUCCCAAGUUAAAGGUUGCCUGUCCUAAUUGAAGAAAGCUUUUGCACAAAUAUCAGUGGCCUACACCAGAUGACCAAUAUUGAUACCCAGACCCAGAUAAUGAACAGUGUUUACAAGAAUGUAAUGUACUCCAUUCAUUUUACAAAUGUUAACAGGUAAU
Long non-coding RNA from Hipposideros armiger (great roundleaf bat), 1521 nucleotides. RefSeq lists it as uncharacterized. The record is from RefSeq and is a predicted model, not a curated record. The transcript has 4 exons. Lineage: Eukaryota; Metazoa; Chordata; Mammalia; Chiroptera; Hipposideridae.